CUUGCUCCCUUAGGUCAGCGGCGGACGGGUGAGUAACACGUGGGUAACCUGCCUGUAAGACUGGGAUAACUCCGGGAAACCGGGGCUAAUACCGGAUGCUUGAUUGAACCGCAUGGUUCAAUYAUAAAAGGKGGCUUUUAGCUACCACUURCAGAUGGACCCGCGGCGCAUUAGCUAGUUGGUGAGGUAACGGCUCACCAAGGCGACGAUGCGUAGCCGACCUGAGAGGGUGAUCGGCCACACUGGGACUGAGACACGGCCCAGACUCCUACGGGAGGCAGCAGUAGGGAAUCUUCCGCAAUGGACGAAAGUCUGACGGAGCAACGCCGCGUGAGUGAUGAAGGUUUUCGGAUCGUAAAACUCUGUUGUUAGGGAAGAACAAGUACCGUUCGAAUAGGGCGGUACCUUGACGGUACCUAACCAGAAAGCCACGGCUAACUACGUGCCAGCAGCNCGCGGUAAUACGUAGGUGGGAAGCGUUGUCCGGAAUUAUUGGGCGUAAAGCGCGCGCAGGCGGUUUCUUAAGUCUGAUGUGAAAGCCCCCGGCUCAACCGGGGAGGGUCAUUGGAAACUGGGGAACUUGAGUGCAGAAGAGGAGAGUGGAAUUCCACGUGUAGCGGUGAA
RNAcentral lists this ribosomal RNA (624 nucleotides) under Bacillus subtilis. RNAcentral's name for it is "bacterial SSU rRNA". Lineage: Bacteria; Bacillati; Bacillota; Bacilli; Caryophanales; Bacillaceae. The record is from RNAcentral.